GUGUCCCCCUCUGUGCACAGCUGCCUGCAUCAAAUUUCUGUUCUUGCUCUAUCACUAUCUUUUAUUUUAUAUUUCCAUCAUGGACUGUGCCUUUGCUAAUCUAGAUGCUGCUGGUUUUCUACAGAUCUGGCAACACUUUGAUGCUGAUGAUAAUGGUUACAUUGAAGGGAAAGAGUUGGAUGACUUUUUCCGUCACAUACUGGAAAAAUUAGGGCCAAAGGAUAAGAUUACAGGGGAGAGAGUACAGCAAAUAAAGAAGAGCUUUAUGUCUACUUAUGAUCUCACA
This is a long non-coding RNA of Sinocyclocheilus grahami, 286 nucleotides long. RefSeq lists it as uncharacterized. NCBI's taxonomy places the organism in Eukaryota, Metazoa, Chordata, Actinopteri, Cypriniformes, Cyprinidae. The transcript has 3 exons. The record is from RefSeq and is a predicted model, not a curated record.